This 26-nucleotide small nuclear RNA is filed under the name Arabidopsis thaliana (thale cress). Its description in RNAcentral is "snRNA_04324". The record is from RNAcentral. Lineage: Eukaryota; Viridiplantae; Streptophyta; Magnoliopsida; Brassicales; Brassicaceae.
CUUGAUUCCAACAACUGCUACCAUUG